GACCGAUAGUGAACUAGUACCGUGAGGGAAAGGUGAAAAGUACCCCUUUGAGGGGAGUGAAAUAGUACCUGAAACCGUGUGCCUACAAGGAGUGGGAGCCUCUUCGGAGGUGACCGCGUGCCUUUUGCUUAAUGAGUCUACGAGUUAGUGUCUGUGGCAAGCUUAAGCGCUUUUGGUGCGUAGGCGUAGCGAAAGCGAGUCCGAAUAGGGCGACCAUAGUCGCAGGCGCUAGACCCGAAACGGAGGUGACCUACCCAUGGCCAGGUUGAAGCAACGGUAAAACGUUGUGGAGGACCGAACCGGUACAGGUUGAAAACUGUUCGGAUGAGCUGUGGGUCGGAGUGAAAGGCUAAUCAAACCCCGUGAUAGCUGGUUCUCCUCGAAAUGCAUUUAGGUGCAGCGUCGCGUGCUUACCCUCGGGGGUAGAGCACUGAAUGAGCUAGGGCCCAUACCAGGGUACCAAACUCAACUAAACUCCGAAUACCGGGGGGUGGAACGCGGCAGUGAGACUGCGGGGGAUAAGCUUCGUAGUCGAAAGGGAAACAGCCCAGAUCAGCAGCUAAGGUGCCUAAAUAGUGCUCAGUGGAAAGGAGGUGGGAUUUCAUAGACAGUGAGGAUGUUGGCUUAGAAGCAGCCACCAUUUAAACAAAGCGUAACAGCUGACUCAUCGAGAGAUCCUGCGCCGAAAAUGAUUGGCGAUAAGCACUAUACCGAAGCUCUGGAUGCACAGUUUACUGUGCGUGGUAGAGGAGCGUUCUCAACACCUUGAAGCCUUAAGGCGACUGAUGGUGGAGCGUUGAGAAGUGAGUAUGUAGACAUGAGUAACGAUAAGCCGGGUUAAAUCCCCGGCCGCCGUAAACCCGAGGUUUCCUGGGCCAUGCUGGUCAUCCCAGGGUUAGUCGGGACCUAAGCCGAGGCCGAUGGGCGUAGGCGAUGGAAACACGGUUAAUAUUCCGUGACGGCCUAUAAUUUAAACUAGAAGGACGCAUGAGUGGAGAAACGACAGUGACUGAUAGUGCUGAACGAGGGAUUCGUCCCGGAUACUGUUUCGAAACGAGUGCCAAGAAAAGUUCUAGUGUAUAGAAUUAGGCCCCCGUACCGUAAACCGACACAGGUGGGUAGGUAGAAUAUACUAAGGCGCAAGAGUGAAACCCUGUUAAGGAACUCGGCAAAUUAGCCCCGUAACUUCGGGAGAAGGGGUCCCGGGACUUGUCCCGGGCGCAGUGAAAGGGCCCAUCCGACUGUUUAGCAAAAACACAGCAUUCUGCGAACACGCAAGUGGAAGUAUAGGAUGUGACACGUGACCAAUGCCAAAAGAUUAAGGGGAGGUGUUAGCCUUCGGGCGAAGCUCUGAUCCUAAGUCCUGGUGAAUGUCGGCCGUAACUAUAACGGUCCUAAGGUAGCGAAAUUCCUUGUCGGGUAAGUUCCGACCUGCACGAAUCGUGCAACGAGAUGGGCGCUGUCUCAACAGGGAGCUCAGUGAAAUUGUAUCCGCGGUGAAGAUGCCGCGUACCCGCAGAAGGACGGAAAGACCCUAUAGACCUUAACUGUACGCUGUCACUGUUUUCUCGAUUUUAAUGCUCAGCAUAAGUGGGAGGCUUUGAACCAUUCCUCUAGGGGAAUGGGGAGCCAUCAGUGAGAUACCACCCUUUAGCAUUGGGAAAUCUAACCUCUAGCCUUUAUCAGGCAGAGGAACCAUGGCAGCCGGUCAGUUUGACUGGGGCGGUCUCCUCCUAAAGAGUAACGGAGGAGCGCGAAGGUAGGCUCAGCGCGGUUGGCAAUCGCGUUUCGAGUGCAUUGGCAUAAGCCUGCCUAACUGCGAGACUUACAAGUCGAGCAGAGACGAAAGUCGGCCAAAGUGAUCCGGCGGUGGAAUAUGGAAUCGCCGUCGCUCAUCGGACAAAAGGUACCUUAGGGAUAACAGGCUGAUCGCGCCCAAGAGU
This 1943-nucleotide ribosomal RNA is filed under the name marine metagenome. RNAcentral's name for it is "bacterial LSU rRNA". It matches the Rfam family "Bacterial large subunit ribosomal RNA", at positions 482 to 2499 of the family's 2925-position model. The record is from RNAcentral.